RNAcentral lists this transfer RNA (83 nucleotides) under Syntrophotalea acetylenica. RNAcentral describes it as "Pelobacter acetylenicus tRNA". It matches the Rfam family "tRNA". From Rfam's summary of the family: Transfer RNA (tRNA) molecules are approximately 80 nucleotides in length. Their secondary structure includes four short double-helical elements and three loops (D, anti-codon, and T loops). Further hydrogen bonds mediate the characteristic L-shaped molecular structure. tRNAs have two regions of fundamental functional importance: the anti-codon, which is responsible for specific mRNA codon recognition, and the 3' end, to which the tRNAs corresponding amino acid is attached (by aminoacyl-tRNA synthetases). tRNAs cope with the degeneracy of the genetic code in two manners: having more than one tRNA (with a specific anti-codon) for a particular amino acid; and 'wobble' base-pairing, i.e. permitting non-standard base-pairing at the 3rd anti-codon position. Lineage: Bacteria; Pseudomonadati; Thermodesulfobacteriota; Desulfuromonadia; Desulfuromonadales; Syntrophotaleaceae. The record is from Rfam by way of RNAcentral.
GCCGAAGUGGUGGAAUUGGUAGACACGUCGGUCUCAAAAACCGAUUGCUUAUGGCAGUGCCGGUUCGAUUCCGGCCUUCGGCA